Molecule: long non-coding RNA, 1861 nt
Organism: Bubalus bubalis (water buffalo)
Lineage: Eukaryota; Metazoa; Chordata; Mammalia; Artiodactyla; Bovidae
Exons: 2
Source: RefSeq, a predicted model, not a curated record
ACACAGCAUCUUGCUCAAGUGGAACAGCAAGGCCCCAAGUCAGGAAACCGAGGAGUUUUCUAGAAAUGCGUGGGCCUCCACUCCCCGAGGUGGGAGGAGGCGUGCAUUUCCCUGUUCCUUCACAACGGACAUCUGCAAACCUUGAGCAGAGCACGUAUGUCGGGCAGGGGAGCCCCUGAAAGGUGGGAAGGAGGCAGCCCACCAAGGACCCAGGAAACCCUGCGUGGGGGAUAUCAGGGGUUCUUUUUGGCCUCAUAGCCCCAAAACAACACACCAAAGGAGCGGGCAACUCAGAGAGGGAAGUGGACGCGGACCGAGGAGGCCCAGGCCUGCUCUCCAACCCGGGGACCGGUGACGGAGCAACCGCAAAAACUGUCAGUCACAGAGUCCGGGAAACAGACUGGGAUCUUUGGUUCUGAGAGCCCUCCGGGGCCUGGAAGAGUCUUACCGCUGAAAGGCAAGGUUCUUGGUUCUUCUUUCGUUUCAAAACUGGAUUGACUUGGGCUUAGAGGGAACCAGCAGAGAGGGAACAGGAAAUCAGGAUCAGGAUCUUCUAGAAGGAAUGAGGAACAAAGGGGUUUGUUCCCAUGACACCGAGGUCACUCUGGGCUGUGUGGGACGCCCACCUGCCAGACUCCCCUGAGCAGAGCCUCUGCGGGCUGCUCCCGCCACCUCUGGAGCACAGGUGGGGAGGCCUCAGGGGCCCAGGGCUCAGAGCCCCAGGCCCAGUGCAUGGCCAGUUGACCACUGCUGACGUCACGGCUGUGCGGGGUCCUCUGCCCGCCCGUCUCCUCACGCCUCGCCCUCUUCCUGUUCCCAGCCACCGUCCACCUGCAGGCUGGCUGCUGACUCAGGGGCCGUAGGGGUGGGGGAGGAUGCCGGGCUGGACUUCUCGGCUCCCCUCGGGGAGGACCAGCCCGGGGGGUGUUAGCUGAGCCACCCUGCCCACCCCGCUGCUCCUGAGAUUUGGAGAAGCUGAUGUCCCGCCUGAACAGGGAACAGUUGAAGUGCCCACCAUCAGCCCUCCACCCUUCCCUAGAAUCCAUCAGGGGACGGCAGCAGGACCGUGUCUUGGACCGUACCGUCGUCACUCAUCCCACAGCAAGUGGACCUUGGAAGGCCUUGGACCCUCGGUAUGGUAGAGUUCAGUCACUGUUUCCUGUUGACUUGAGGGCUCACGCCAGAUGGUGAAUGUUCGAGGGGAGAGAGAUGUGGAAAAGCAUCAGACUGGAAUUCCAGAAGAAGAAGGAAAGAGCACAGAGGAAUGCAGAUACGAUCAAAGAUAGUGACUGAAUUUCCCAGACUGGAUGCAAAAAUGUGGCUCCACAGAUCUAAGAGGUCCAGCUUAUUCCAAGCAGAAUAAAUGAAAAGAAAUCCAAGGAGCAUGUUACGGCUUGACCUGUCCCCUACCCCAGAGUUCCUGUAUUGAUGUCCUGGCCCCAGCACCUCAGAACAUGGCCUUAUUAGGACAUGCAAUUAGUCAAGAUGACGUCAUGCUGGAGCAGGGUGAGCCCUGCCCCAACAGGACUGGUCAUAGGAACAGAAGUCUUCAUGGUCAGAGGGGCACUGAUCUUAAUACAUGCAGCUUAUCCCCAAGGGGAAUGGAAAGUAUAAACAAUGGAUGUGUAUGUUUGCGUGUAUACACACAUGCACAGAGAGAAUGCUACAGCAGAUGUGGCAACAGGUAAAACUUGGUGAAUCUGAGUAAAGAGCAUAUAGGAAGCUUACGUCAAAAUAAAUAUAUAUUUUUUAAUUUAGGGCAAACAAAAAAUAAAGGGGCUGAGUAAGAGUUAAAGAGUUUGCUCUAAUGGAUAAAUACAGAAGGCAGAGCCCAACAGAGUUCACAUUUCUCUCAAGCUCA